RNAcentral lists this ribosomal RNA (1395 nucleotides) under Pediococcus pentosaceus. RNAcentral describes it as "bacterial SSU rRNA". It matches the Rfam family "Bacterial small subunit ribosomal RNA". The record is from RNAcentral. Lineage: Bacteria; Bacillati; Bacillota; Bacilli; Lactobacillales; Lactobacillaceae.
UAUGACGUACUUGUACUGAUUGAGAUUUUAACACGAAGUGAGUGGCGAACGGGUGAGUAACACGUGGGUAACCUGCCCAGAAGUAGGGGAUAACACCUGGAAACAGAUGCUAAUACCGUAUAACAGAGAAAACCGCAUGGUUUUCUUUUAAAAGAUGGCUCUGCUAUCACUUCUGGAUGGACCCGCGGCGUAUUAGCUAGUUGGUGAGGUAAAGGCUCACCAAGGCAGUGAUACGUAGCCGACCUGAGAGGGUAAUCGGCCACAUUGGGACUGAGACACGGCCCAGACUCCUACGGGAGGCAGCAGUAGGGAAUCUUCCACAAUGGACGCAAGUCUGAUGGAGCAACGCCGCGUGAGUGAAGAAGGGUUUCGGCUCGUAAAGCUCUGUUGUUAAAGAAGAACGUGGGUAAGAGUAACUGUUUACCCAGUGACGGUAUUUAACCAGAAAGCCACGGCUAACUACGUGCCAGCAGCCGCGGUAAUACGUAGGUGGCAAGCGUUAUCCGGAUUUAUUGGGCGUAAAGCGAGCGCAGGCGGUCUUUUAAGUCUAAUGUGAAAGCCUUCGGCUCAACCGAAGAAGUGCAUUGGAAACUGGGAGACUUGAGUGCAGAAGAGGACAGUGGAACUCCAUGUGUAGCGGUGAAAUGCGUAGAUAUAUGGAAGAACACCAGUGGCGAAGGCGGCUGUCUGGUCUGCAACUGACGCUGAGGCUCGAAAGCAUGGGUAGCGAACAGGAUUAGAUACCCUGGUAGUCCAUGCCGUAAACGAUGAUUACUAAGUGUUGGAGGGUUUCCGCCCUUCAGUGCUGCAGCUAACGCAUUAAGUAAUCCGCCUGGGGAGUACGACCGCAAGGUUGAAACUCAAAAGAAUUGACGGGGGCCCGCACAAGCGGUGGAGCAUGUGGUUUAAUUCGAAGCUACGCGAAGAACCUUACCAGGUCUUGACAUCUUCUGACAGUCUAAGAGAUUAGAGGUUCCCUUCGGGGACAGAAUGACAGGUGGUGCAUGGUUGUCGUCAGCUCGUGUCGUGAGAUGUUGGGUUAAGUCCCGCAACGAGCGCAACCCUUAUUACUAGUUGCCAGCAUUAAGUUGGGCACUCUAGUGAGACUGCCGGUGACAAACCGGAGGAAGGUGGGGACGACGUCAAAUCAUCAUGCCCCUUAUGACCUGGGCUACACACGUGCUACAAUGGAUGGUACAACGAGUCGCGAGACCGCGAGGUUAAGCUAAUCUCUUAAAACCAUUCUCAGUUCGGACUGUAGGCUGCAACUCGCCUACACGAAGUCGGAAUCGCUAGUAAUCGCGGAUCAGCAUGCCGCGGUGAAUACGUUCCCGGGCCUUGUACACACCGCCCGUCACACCAUGAGAGUUUGUAACACCCAAAGCCGGUGGGGUA